This 240-nucleotide unclassified non-coding RNA is filed under the name soil metagenome. RNAcentral's name for it is "partial contains 5.8S ribosomal RNA, internal transcribed spacer 2, and large subunit ribosomal RNA". The record is from RNAcentral.
AAGACUAUAGACCUGCGGAGUACCUGCGGAGGGAUCAUUAAAGAGAAAACUGCCCUUUGGGUAGAUCUCCCACCCUUUGUUUACCUUACCUUUGUUGCUUUGGCAGGCCCGUCUUCUGACCACCGGCUUUUAGCUGGUCCGUGCCUGCCAGAGGACCCCCAACUCUUGAUUUCAAGUUGUCCGAGUCUUAUAUAAUAGUAAAAACUUUCAACAACGGAUCUCUAGAUCGGAAGAGCACAC